GAUGAACGCUGGCGGCGUGCCUAAUACAUGCAAGUCGAGCGAACAGACGAGGAGCUUGCUCCUCUGACGUUAGCGGCGGACGGGUGAGUAACACGUGGAUAACCUACCUAUAAGACUGGGAUAACUUCGGGAAACCGGAGCUAAUACCGGAUAAUAUAUUGAACCGCAUGGUUCAAUAGUGAAAGACGGUUUUGCUGUCACUUAUAGAUGGAUCCGCGCCGCAUUAGCUAGUUGGUAAGGUAACGGCUUACCAAGGCAACGAUGCGUAGCCGACCUGAGAGGGUGAUCGGCCACACUGGAACUGAGACACGGUCCAGACUCCUACGGGAGGCAGCAGUAGGGAAUCUUCCGCAAUGGGCGAAAGCUUGACGGAGCAGCGCCGCGUGAGUGAUGAAGGUCUUCGGAUCGUAAAACUCUGUUAUUAGGGAAGAACAAAUGUGUAAGUAACUAUGCACGUCUUGACGGCACCUAAUCAGAAAGCCACGGCUAACUACGUG
RNAcentral lists this ribosomal RNA (497 nucleotides) under uncultured bacterium. RNAcentral describes it as "partial 16S ribosomal RNA". It matches the Rfam family "Bacterial small subunit ribosomal RNA", at positions 28 to 507 of the family's 1533-position model. The record is from RNAcentral.